RNAcentral lists this small nuclear RNA (107 nucleotides) under Phocoena sinus (vaquita). Lineage: Eukaryota; Metazoa; Chordata; Mammalia; Artiodactyla; Phocoenidae. The record is from RNAcentral.
GUGCUUGCUUCAGCAGCACAUAUACUAAAAUUGGAACAGUACAGAGAAGAUUAGCGUGGCCCCUGCGCAAGGAUGACAUGCAGAUGCGUGACGUGUUCCAUAUCUUU